GAUGAACGCUAGCUACAGGCUUAACACAUGCAAGUCGAGGGGUAACAAGAGGAAAGCUUGCUUUUCUUGUUGACGACCGGCGCACGGGUGAGUAACGCGUAUCCAACCUGCCUAUAACUAGGGAAUAACCUUGCGAAAGUAAGACUAAUACCCUAUGAUUUCCCUUGAUGACAUCAGAUUAGGAAUAAAGAUUUAUCGGUUAUAGAUGGGGAUGCGUCUGAUUAGCUUGUUGGCGGGGUAACGGCCCACCAAGGCAACGAUCAGUAGGGGUUUUGAGAGGAAGGUCCCCACAUUGGAACUGAGACACGGCCCAAACUCCUACGGGAGGCAGCAGUGAGGAAUAUUGGUCAAUGGGCGGAAGCCUGAACCAGCCAAGUAGCGUGCAGGAUGACGGCCCUAUGGGUUGUAAACUGCUUUUAUACAGGAAUAAAGUUAGCCACGUGUGGUUAUUUGUAGGUACUGUAUGAAUAAGGACCGGCUAAUUCCGUGCCAGCCGCCGCCGUAA
This 505-nucleotide ribosomal RNA is filed under the name uncultured bacterium. RNAcentral describes it as "partial 16S ribosomal RNA". It matches the Rfam family "Bacterial small subunit ribosomal RNA", at positions 28 to 523 of the family's 1533-position model. The record is from RNAcentral.